AUAACGGUCCUAAGGUAGCGAAAUUCCUUGUCGGGUAAGUUCCGACCCGCACGAAUGGUGUAACGAUCUGGGCACUGUCUCAACUACCCGCCCGGCGAAAUUGUAGUACCGGUGAAGAUGCCGGUUACCUGCGACAAGACGGAAAGACCCCAUGGAGCUUUACUGUAGCUUGAUAUUGGGUUUCGGUAAUUUAUGUACAGGAUAUGUGGGAGACUGGGAAGUUAUGGCGCCAGCCAUAAUGGAGUCGAUGUUGGGAUACCACACUUAGAUUGCUGGAAUUCUAACCUGUGGCCAUGAAACUGGUCAGGGGACAUUGUCAGGUGGGCAGUUUGACUGGGGCGGUCGCCUCCGAAAGAGUAACGGAGGCGCUCAAAGGUUGGCUCAGCACGGACGGAAACCGUGCAUUAGAGUGUAAACGCGUAAGCCAGCCUAACUGCGAGGGUGACGGCCCGAGCAGUAACGAAAGUUGGAGUUAGUGAUCCGGCGGUAUGUGAAUGGAAAUGCCGUCGCUCAACGGAUAAAAGCUACCCUGGGGAUAACAGGCUGAUCUCCCCCAAGAGUCCACAUCGACGGGGAGGUUUGGCACCUCGAUGUCGGCUCAUCACAUCCUGGGGCUGUAUUCGGUCCCAAGGGUUCGGCUGUUCGCCGAUUAAAGUGGUACGCGAGCUGGGUUCAGAACGUCGCGAGACAGUUCGGUCCCUAUCUGUCGUGGGCGCAGGAUAUUUGAGGAGCUCUGUCCUUAGUACGAGAGGACCGGGAUGGACGUACCUCUGGUGCACCAGUUGUCACGCCAGUGGCACAGCUGGGCAGCUAUGUACGGAACGGAUAAACGCUGAAAGCAUCUAAGCGUGAAGCCGACUCCAAGAUUAGAUAUCCCAUCAGAAUAUGAGUAAGACCCCUUGUAGACUACGAGGUUGAUAGGCUGCGUGUGUAAGCAUGGUGACAUGUUCAGCUUGGCAGUACUAAUAGGUCGAGGGCUUGACCAC
RNAcentral lists this ribosomal RNA (986 nucleotides) under human gut metagenome. RNAcentral's name for it is "bacterial LSU rRNA". It matches the Rfam family "Bacterial large subunit ribosomal RNA", at positions 1942 to 2925 of the family's 2925-position model. The record is from RNAcentral.